AAUAAAAAACAGAAAAAGAGUUAAAAAGAGUUCUAUAUAUAUAUAUAUACAUAAUCUGCCUCUCCAACAAAACCAAAGCAAUAACUGUGUUUUGUGCAAUGGAGUUGUGGACAAUUCCCAGAAGAUUUCAGGUGAUGAUGAUGAAUGCUGUCUUAGCAAUUGGCCUUUUGCUAUUUCUUUGUACUAGUGGAGUUGAUGGCAGAAAAUAUCCCAAAUUGGAUUGGUUUGAGUAUCCAGCUAUUAGUUGCAGAUCUCAUCAGGCAUCAUUGACAGAUUUUGGAGGAGUUGGAGAU
This 293-nucleotide unclassified non-coding RNA is filed under the name Hevea brasiliensis (rubber tree). Lineage: Eukaryota; Viridiplantae; Streptophyta; Magnoliopsida; Malpighiales; Euphorbiaceae. The record is from RNAcentral.